UUUUUUUUGUAUUGUUU
Molecule: small RNA, 17 nt
Filed under: Arabidopsis thaliana (thale cress)
Lineage: Eukaryota; Viridiplantae; Streptophyta; Magnoliopsida; Brassicales; Brassicaceae
Description: ATSL119090
Source: RNAcentral